UACGUAGGGGGCGAGCGUUGUCCGGAGUUACUGGGCGUAAAGCGCACGCAGGCGGUCUGCUAAGUUUGGAGUGACAGUUGGUGGCUUAACUGCCAGAGUGCUUCGAAAACUGACAGACUUGAGGGCUUCAGAGGGACACGGAAUUCCGGGUGGAGUGGUGAAAUGCGUAGAGAUCCGGAGGAACACCAAAGGCGAAGGCAGUGUCCUGGGGAGUACCUGACGCUCAGGUGCGAAAGCCAGGGGAGCGAACGGG
Molecule: ribosomal RNA, 253 nt
Filed under: uncultured bacterium
Lineage: Bacteria
Description: partial 16S ribosomal RNA
Rfam family: Bacterial small subunit ribosomal RNA
Source: RNAcentral